RNAcentral lists this ribosomal RNA (255 nucleotides) under uncultured bacterium. RNAcentral describes it as "partial 16S ribosomal RNA". It matches the Rfam family "Bacterial small subunit ribosomal RNA", at positions 524 to 776 of the family's 1533-position model. The record is from RNAcentral.
UACGUAGGGUGCAAGCGUUGUCCGGAAUUAUUGGGCGUAAAGAGCUCGUAGGCGGUUUGUUGCGUCGGCUGUGAAAUCCCGAGGCUCAACCUCGGGUCUGCAGUCGAUACGAGCAAACUAGAGUGUUGCAGGGGAGACUGGAAUUCCUGGUGUAGCGGUGAAAUGCGCAGAUAUCAGGAGGAACACCGGUGGCGAAGGCGGGGUCUCUGGGCAACAACUGACGCUGGAGGAGCGAAAGCGUGGGGAGCGAACAGG